This 82-nucleotide transfer RNA is filed under the name Caerostris darwini. Its description in RNAcentral is "tRNA-Ser". It matches the Rfam family "tRNA". Rfam says of the family: Transfer RNA (tRNA) molecules are approximately 80 nucleotides in length. Their secondary structure includes four short double-helical elements and three loops (D, anti-codon, and T loops). Further hydrogen bonds mediate the characteristic L-shaped molecular structure. tRNAs have two regions of fundamental functional importance: the anti-codon, which is responsible for specific mRNA codon recognition, and the 3' end, to which the tRNAs corresponding amino acid is attached (by aminoacyl-tRNA synthetases). tRNAs cope with the degeneracy of the genetic code in two manners: having more than one tRNA (with a specific anti-codon) for a particular amino acid; and 'wobble' base-pairing, i.e. permitting non-standard base-pairing at the 3rd anti-codon position. The record is from RNAcentral. Lineage: Eukaryota; Metazoa; Arthropoda; Arachnida; Araneae; Araneidae.
GCAGUCGUGGCCGAGUGGUUAAGGCGAUGGACUCGAAAUCCAUUGGGGUCUCCCCGCACAGGUUCGAAUCCUGUCGAUUGCG